RNAcentral lists this ribosomal RNA (776 nucleotides) under uncultured Vagococcus sp. RNAcentral's name for it is "bacterial SSU rRNA". It matches the Rfam family "Bacterial small subunit ribosomal RNA", at positions 722 to 1502 of the family's 1533-position model. Lineage: Bacteria; Bacillati; Bacillota; Bacilli; Lactobacillales; Enterococcaceae. The record is from RNAcentral.
CGACUCUCUGUCUGUACUGACGCUGAGGCUCGAAAGCGUGGGGAGCAAACAGGAUUAGAUACCUGGUAGUCCACGCCGUAAACGAUGAGUGCUAAGUGUUAGGGGGUUCCGCCCUUUAGUGCUGCAGCUAACGCAUUAAGCACUCCGCGUGGGGAGUACGACCGCAAGGUUGAAACUCAAAGGAAUUGACGGGGGCCCGCACAAGCGGUGGAGCAUGUGGUUUAAUUCGAAGCAACGCGAAGAACCUUACCAGGUCUUGACAUCCUUUGACCACUUUAGAGAUAAAGCUUUCCCUUCGGGGACAAAGUGACAGGUGGUGCAUGGUUGUCGUCAGCUCGUGUCGUGAGAUGUUGGGUUAAGUCCCGCAACGAGCGCAACCCUUAUUGUUAGUUGCCAUCAUUCAGUUGGGCACUCUAGCGAAACUGCCGGUGACAAACCGGAGGAAGGUGGGGAUGACGUCAAAUCAUCAUGCCCCUUAUGACCUGGGCUACACACGUGCUACAAUGGACAGUACAAUGAGCAGCGACACGGCGACGUGAAGCGAAUCUCAUAAAGCUGUUCUCAGUUCGGAUUGUAGGCUGCAACUCGCCUACAUGAAGCCGGAAUCGCUAGUAAUCGCGGAUCAGCACGCCGCGGUGAAUACGUUCCCGGGCCUUGUACACACCGCCCGUCACACCACGAAAGUUUGUAACACCCAAAGUCGGUGAGGUAACCUUCGGGAGCCAGCCGCCUAAGGUGGGAUAGAUGAUUGGGGUGAAGUCGUAACAAGGUAACCA